UAAAGCGUGUCAGUUUAUCACUUUCACGAGGUUGGCGAAAUAACAUGUUCAACUACUUAAGAAACUAGCUCGAAUCUAGGUUUUGCCUUUUGAUUUCGAGAAAAUUAACAACUGAGGUAGAUAUUUUAACUUCUCUCAUUGACUUCUCAAGCCCCAAACCCCGGCAUGUUCUGUUUACUAUUUCAGAAGCGUUCCUGGAUGUCUCGCGAUGUUGCGCCUCUGGGUUUAGAAACUCUGUGAUUUGGGCAAUAAAACAGGUUGUCAGACACAGUCUACAUCUGGGUAGAGAAACAUCCAAUACAUUCUGAAGUAUGUGCUGUAUUUGGCUUCUAUUCUGAACAUCUACUUGUGAUAUCUGUCUGGUUGACAGCCAUCAGUAAGCUUCGUUGACUUAAGGUAGACCAGAAAGGCCACAUCCCAGAAGGGCAGAUGAGCAGCAACGCUGACUAGAAGCACCCGCUGCUGUUACUUUACAAAUGUUUUGAAUGGAAAUAAACGUGUAUCUACACACUGAAGAAGGCUGUAAAGCCGGAAAAUCUGUACACAAUCCCUGAUGCAGUAAAAAUAAUUGAACAUAAAAUGAUGAAGUAAGCUUUAUGGUAAUUUACUGAAGCCUAAGUAGCUUGAUGUACUGAAUAAUUAUUGGGACUUCUAAAGCACUUGAACUCUAUCAUGUGGUAUUUACACCUUCACCGACAUGGAAAGAGAUUCAGAGGAAGACAGCAUGACUACUACUUUACACACCCAGCACCAUUUCACUUGAACAGACAGAUGAGAAAAUUGAUUUUCACAAACCAACAUUUUCUAUUUCAUUGACACUAACUAGGCAAGUCAAUUAUGAACAAAUUAUUUACACAUUUUUAUUCAGGGUUUCUAGAUUAGUAACUGAGGCUGGUGGCAGUUAUAUUGUAUUAAGUUAUUAAAGUAACAUGAAAAAGUUAGCCUUGUUUGACCAUCCUGUUAAGUCAUGCUGAUGGGUCAGAGUUGAGAUGUGUUUUUGAUCACUAAUGCCUCAAUAGCUUCUACUGAGCCUAAGAGCACACAUCUGUCAAAAACAAAUUGUGAAGCAGGCACACAUUUAUUUCAGGAAACGGUACAAUAUUACUGUAGCAUUCACUGUCUGUUUUGGGGUAUUUUCAUAUCUAAUCUCCAAGCAAGUCAGACCUACAAGAUCAACAAGAGAAUGGGUGGAGGAAUAAAAUAAUUUAAAUAACGAGUGGAUAAGGCAGAGAGAGACCGCGAUCAAGACAGAACUGAUAAACAGAAAGCGGAGAAAGAAAAGCGGACCGAAGAGGAUGACGGGCAGCUCCUUGCUAAGAACGUGAAAAUGGAAACAUAACUAAAGAUGGAAGAAAAACGUAGGCAGCGACUGGAGAAGAAAAUACUGAAAUUAAUGGACCCCAAUAGACAGCGAGAGAAAGAUGAAAGGAUGAGUGAAGCGGAAAAAAGCAAAUGUAAAAAGGAGAUCAGAAAAAUGUAUGAAAUGUAUCCACAUAUUAAGAGACAAAGGCAUACACGGUUAAAUGAUCCACAUAAUGAAUUAUUGGACGAGGAACACAAUCAUUGUAUACCUUUAAUAUCCACAAUUGCGCUGCCUGUUUUAUUUUCCCCAAAUGAUGUGCUUAAAGGGAUAGUUCACACACAUGACUUAGUGGUUUAAGCAUUUCGCUACACUCGCAUUUAACAUCUGCUAACCAUGUGUAUGUGACAAAUACAAUUUGAUUUGAUUUAAUAACCCUGUUAGCUGUUUUUGUUUACCUGGCUGCUGCCACCAAAUGCUUUUCAAACCAAUGCCUGUCAAUAUCUGAGAAUCCUCUGUAGCUUUGCAAUAAAUAGAUUCUAUUGAU
Oncorhynchus gorbuscha (pink salmon) is the source of this 1847-nucleotide long non-coding RNA. RefSeq lists it as uncharacterized. The record is from RefSeq and is a predicted model, not a curated record. Lineage: Eukaryota; Metazoa; Chordata; Actinopteri; Salmoniformes; Salmonidae. The transcript has 2 exons.